This 447-nucleotide ribosomal RNA is filed under the name uncultured bacterium. RNAcentral's name for it is "bacterial SSU rRNA". It matches the Rfam family "Bacterial small subunit ribosomal RNA", at positions 331 to 794 of the family's 1533-position model. The record is from RNAcentral.
CCAGACUCCUACGGGAGGCAGCAGUGGGGGAUAUUGCACAAUGGGGGGAACCCUGAUGCAGCGACGCCGCGUGGGUGAAGAAGUAUUUCGGUAUGUAAAGCCCUAUCGGCAGGGAAGAAAUUGGACGGUACCUGACUAAGAAGCCCUGGCUAACUACGUGCCAGCAGCCGCGGUAAUACGUAGGGGGCAAGCGUUAUCCGGAUUCACUGGGUGUAAAGGGAGCGUAGACGGCCAUGCAAGCCUGGAGUGAAAGCCCGGGGCCCAACCCCGGGACUGCUUUGGAAACUGUGUAACUGGAGUACAGGAGGGGCAGGCGGAAUUCCUGGUGUAGCGGUGAAAUGCGUAGAUAUCAGGAGGAACACCGGCGGCGAAGGCGGCCUGCUGGACUGAAACUGACGUUGAGGCUCGAAAGCGUGGGGAGCAAACAGGAUUAGAUACCCCUGUACA